UCCAGCUUAUCGCUGGCGGUCUCCUGCGAGUUCCGCCCUUGCGGGCAUGGCAACACAGGACAAGGGUUGCGCUCGUUGCGGGACUUAACCCAACAUCUCACGACACGAGCUGACGACAGCCAUGCAGCACCUCGACUGGACCCCCUUGCGGGGUAGCAGUGUUUCCACCGCCGUUGACCAGCCGUUCGAGCCCAGGUAAGGUUCUUCGCGUUGCGUCGAAUUGAACCACAUGCUCCACCGCUUGUGCGGGCCCCCGUCAAUUCCUUUGAGUUUCAGCCUUGCGACUGUACUCCCCAGGCGGCACGUUUAACGCGUUAGCUCCGGCACAGAUCAACUGAAUGACCUACACCAAACGUGCAUCGUUUAGGGCGUGGACUAC
RNAcentral lists this unclassified non-coding RNA (379 nucleotides) under uncultured Bryobacterales bacterium. RNAcentral's name for it is "contains 16S-23S intergenic spacer region". The record is from RNAcentral. Lineage: Bacteria; Pseudomonadati; Acidobacteriota; Terriglobia; Bryobacterales.